AGCGAACGCUGGCGGCAGGCUUAACACAUGCAAGUCGAGCGGGCCCUUCGGGGUCAGCGGCAGACGGGUGAGUAACACGUGGGAACGUACCCUUUGGUUCGGAAUAACGCUGGGAAACUAGCGCUAAUACCGGAUACGCCCUUUUGGGGAAAGGCUUGCUGCCGAAGGAUCGGCCCGCGUCUGAUUAGCUAGUUGGUGGGGUAAUGGCCUACCAAGGCGACGAUCAGUAGCUGGUCUGAGAGGAUGAUCAGCCACACUGGGACUGAGACACGGCCCAGACUCCUACGGGAGGCAGCAGUGGGGAAUAUUGGACAAUGGGCGCAAGCCUGAUCCAGCCAUGCCGCGUGAGUGAUGAAGGCCUUAGGGUUGUAAAGCUCUUUUGUCCGGGACGAUAAUGACGGUACCGGAAGAAUAAGCCCCGGCUAACUUCGUA
RNAcentral lists this ribosomal RNA (433 nucleotides) under uncultured bacterium. Its description in RNAcentral is "partial 16S ribosomal RNA". It matches the Rfam family "Bacterial small subunit ribosomal RNA", at positions 29 to 507 of the family's 1533-position model. The record is from RNAcentral.